Daphnia pulicaria is the source of this 408-nucleotide long non-coding RNA. RefSeq lists it as uncharacterized. The record is from RefSeq and is a predicted model, not a curated record. NCBI's taxonomy places the organism in Eukaryota, Metazoa, Arthropoda, Branchiopoda, Diplostraca, Daphniidae. The transcript is spliced from 3 exons.
CAAAAGAACCACAUAUUCGUGAUCCUCGUAAAAUUUGUGGUCAACAGUUGAGGAGCUAUUGCUACUUCCGGUAUACUUCCGGAAAAUUUUCGACAAACUAGCAACAUUAAACUGCAAGGAACUCCAUCAGCAGCUCUAAGAAGAUCUAGCCGGACUAAAUUACCCAUCAGCCCAUCUCCAAACGACGUGUCACUUUCCGCAGGACGUACCACGCGAAUGAUGGCAUCCUGACUGCACGAAGUGGCCUGAACUACGAAGAAAACAGCCGUUUCACGCUCGUUUUACAGGCUGAAGAUCUUGCAAAAGAGCCUGGAGCUGCCUUAACCAGUACAGCUACUGUAAUGGUCGAAGUUCUUGAUGUUCAAGACCAGCCUCCAGUGUUUUUAAACGCACCCUAUUGACCUGUCA